UAUGCGACGUUACUGAGAUCGGGCAGGGCGAGGCGGCCAUGGCCCCGGCUCCGGCCCCGGCCCCGGCUCCGGCCCCAGCUCCGGCCCCGGCCCCGACGGCGGAGGCGGCGGCCACCCCCUACGUGGGGCUGCGGCGGCCCCUGGGCUACCAGCUGGCCAAGGCCACCAAGGAGCGCAUCUGGCGGGGGGAGUUCAUUGACCUGUUUUCCUUGCUCCACACAGAGCUGGCCCCCGAGCACGGCCCGCGGCCGGGGGACACGCUGGACCAGUGGGUCUCCGCCUUCCUGGUGUACGCCAGCGUGGUGUGCGAGAAGCACCCGGCGCGCUGCGGGGCCAUGUUCAAGUACCUGGACACCAUCCGCAAGCUGCACGCCACCUACGGGGGCACCUCGUGGAUGAGCUACGACGAGGACUUUCGGCGGCGGGCGGCCAAGGACCCCAACCUGCCCUGGGGCGACGUCGACCUGGACCUCUGGAUGAAGUGGAUGGCGCCCCUCAAGUCGCUCAUCAGCAGGCACCACCGUGCUGAGAGCGAGCCGCAGGCCGCGCCGCCACCACCGCUGCCGCCACCAUCCUCGUCGUCGUCCCAGAGCCCCAAGCAGGAGGAGAAAAGCCAGACUCCAUGAAAACAGAAGGCCAGUUGGAAUGGCAGUCAGACUAAGUGGCCUGACUCCGUUGGUGUUUAAGUGGAGCUCUGGUAUUCUAGUGCAUUCUUUUACCUCUGCUUCUGUUGCGUUGCAAGCUGUGCUAGAGAAGACGUAGGAAAUUCAUUUUACCCAAUCAGCAAUUGUAACAAUGGACUACAAACCUGCAGAGCAAGCCAGUUUGCUGGAAAACAGGAAUUCCUGCAGCGCAGCACUUGUCACAGACUAUCCAAAGAGGGCAAAGAUUCAGGAAGGUGAAUAAAUUGAACAUUGGUUGAAUGAGGUCA
RNAcentral lists this long non-coding RNA (931 nucleotides) under Anas platyrhynchos platyrhynchos (common mallard). RNAcentral describes it as "lncRNA (ENSAPLG00000020590.1)". Lineage: Eukaryota; Metazoa; Chordata; Aves; Anseriformes; Anatidae. The record is from RNAcentral.